Leptonychotes weddellii (Weddell seal) is the source of this 4173-nucleotide non-coding RNA. Lineage: Eukaryota; Metazoa; Chordata; Mammalia; Carnivora; Phocidae. The record is from RefSeq and is a predicted model, not a curated record.
AUAAGACUUUUUUUCUUGUUUUUAUUUAGAUAUUUUAUGACCUGGUCAGACAGAUAAAUAGAAAAACACCAGUGGAAAAGAAGAAGCCUAAAAAGAAAUCAUGCCUUCUGCUUUAGACCCACAGUGAGCAGCAGCUCUGAGCCAGAUUACAGGAAUGAAGAACUGUUGCCUAAUUGGGAAGUGCCAGCAUUCCAGACUUCAAAAAUUAAAUCUGAAGAGGCUUCUCCUGUUUUAUAUAUUAUGUGAAGAAUUUAAAUCUUAUAUUGGUUUGCACAGAUUCCCUGGAGAAAAAAAAAAUUGCUCUGUGUAUAUCUCUUGGAAAAUAAGACAAUAGUAUUUCUCCUUUGCAAUAGCAGUUAUAACAGAUGUGAAAAUAAAUAUACUUGACUCUAAUAUGAUUAUACAAAAGAGCAUGGAUGCAUUUCAAAUGUUAGAUAUUGCUACUAUAAUCAGAUGAUUUCAUAUUGACCUUUUUAUCAUGAUUCCUCCCUGUCAAGAACUAAAAGUUGAACCAUUAUACUUUAUAUCUGUAAUGAUAUAGAUUAUGAAAUUUCCCCUCAAACUCAUUGCAGCAGAUAACUUUUUGAGUCAUUGACUUCAUUUUAUAUUUAAAAAUUAUGAAAUAUCAUUCUGUCAUUAUAUUCUAAUUAAAAUUGUGCAUAAUGCUUUGGAAAAAUGGGUCUUUUAUAGGAAAAAAACUGGGAUAACUGAUUUCUAUGGCUUUCAAAGCUAAAAUAUAUAAUAUACUAAACCAACUCUAAUAUUGCUUCUUGUGUUUUACUGUCAGAUUAAAUUACAACUUUUUUGGAUGAUUAAAUUUUAGUACAUUUUCGUUUGGUUUGUGUGUUUUUGUUAUUGUUUAUAGAUUUAAGACUUUUAUUUUAUAAUGGCCACAUUGUUUUAAAAUGCAACAGUAGCUCCUUUCUGCCUGUACCUACAGAACACUUGGCUUUAAACCCCUAAGUCAUUGGUAAUUUCUCUAAGAACAGACCUCACACUUUCUGUUCUAGAUGUAUUUAUUCCUACUAUACAGCAGACUACAUCGGACUACAUAGAUUAGUUUUGUAUAUUCUCUCUUGAUCUUAAAGAUUGUAUCUUAUUGAAUAAAAUAUCCCACUGUGUAUUAUUUUUAUAUGUAAAAAUAAGUUUAAUACUGUAUCAGGGGUUAACUUUACUAUUUCAAAUCUUCCACAGCUUGUAAUUUCAUCAAGGGAAUCCUUUUGUCAUUGUUAAUAUGUUGGGUAUAAGCCCACCAAUGAAAUGUUAUGUAAAAAUGUUCAAAUUUGCUUUAUAAUAGAUUGAAGAAUUUGAGAGAAGUGGGGAAAAGUGAAAACGCAUACGGAGAAUGUGUCCGUUGCUUUUGCUUCGACUGUAUAUGAAGUAGUGUAGUAGUCAUAGUAUGGAAAAGAUCGCUAAGUUAAAAUUUUAGCUGGCUAUAUAGUGGUGCUUUUCUUUUCCUUCCCAGUUGUUUCUGUUUUUACAAAGGUGACACUUAAUGAGGACAUGGAUCUAGGGUAUCGAUACGGCUUACGUGUUCUCCAUAGAGGUAGAGCAAAACAGCUUGUCGGCCAGUUAAGUGCUGGCGAAGGCAAGAAACAAGCUGAGAAAACCCUGUGCCUUGUCCCCGAAUACUGAGGAGGAGACUAGUCCUAGAAAGUCUACAUAGCUGCUCAGGGAUCUAGAUACUGUCUCGUUGCAACUAGGUAUGAAGUAGUGUUCAUGCCUUGCUGAGACUUCCCAGGAAUGUGGUCAGGCCAUCGGUUACUAAAUUGAGAUUUAGGAAUAAGAUUUCAAAUGUAAGCUCUGACCAACCUAAGAAAAUGUUAAAAUAUUGUAAAAAAAAAAAAUGGAAAUUGUAUUCUUUUGAGUUUCUAAUAAAUUUAGUUAACUAAUACUUUCCUUCUACUGAUCCAGUUACACAGAUGUCUGGGAUUGAGGGGCCAAAAGUCUAAUAAAUGCAAUAAAUUAAAAAUAAAUAAGUGAAGCAUUAGGGCCAGUCUGUCCAGGUCAAGGUGGCAUAUUUUAAGGUCCUCUACAGCCAUUCUGCUUGAAAACUCACCUCUCAGACAUGCCUUUGGACUUAAAAUUAUAGACAAAACAUCUCACACGUAAGUAAAAAUUGCUAAAUAUUACCUGUUACAUAGGUUGUGUGGUUAUUUGCCAGAUAGAUAAGAAAUCAUUAAGUAAGAGUAACUCCUAAGAGUAACUCCCCUGUGCUGGACUAAUAGCAUCAGUUUGCCCUCCGUUUCAGAACAUGGGCGAGAAAGAUGACAGUGCUGGAUUCCUUGGUCACAUCUUACACAGUCCACUUGGGAUCCAAUAGGACUGUGAAGAGACGUGCCCCGGAGCACACAGCAGCAUGCAGAGCAGGACCCACUGAAGUCAGGGAGAUGCAUUACUCUCCACAAGGAAAUCUGCCAUGCUGAGUAAGGCGGAAGGGUAGCCUGUCAGAAAGGAAGAUAGGUGUGCUUUCAUCUUGUCCCUGUGGACUCUGUAGUCUUGGUUUCAGAGGGGAGGGUGCCCCAAAAUAAGAUGUAUUUGAUGUACUUUUUAUAGCUGAAAAGUAAAAAAGCCCUCAAAUAUAUAUGAAUUUCAUAUGAUAAACAUCCAAGAACUGACACCACGUUCGUAUUUGUGACUCUUUAAAGUAGAACGCCUUUGGCCAGAUGAGUAACAUAUCAUUUAAAGGAGGCUUGAUAUCAUAGUUGAUAAUGUUUUUCCCAUUAAAACACAAAUGACUUUAAUAGCUUACUAGUGCCCCCAAACAAUCUAGUUUUAAAAAUUAACAGUAAAUACAUAAUCUAUCAUUUUACCCUCCACCAGGGGGAGCUUCAGUAUCAGUUAAAUACUUCUGCAAGCCUUGAAUGAACAGUAUGAAUUCAAUCCAUCUAUUCUUAUAAAUAAACACUGCUUGCUUCAUGAAGAGGCAUAAAGGCCUUUCCUCAAGAAUUUCCAAUCUACCAGGCAGGAAAGAUAUGUAAGAAAUUCAUCAAAGAUAUGAAAACGCUGUAAUUUAUUAAACUGGUCACAGAGUUCUCUCAGGAAUGUUUGGAGAAAUAUGGGUGUUGGUAUGUUAUUCUCUUUCCCCUACAGCUUUGAAGUAAUCUCUCUUUGGUAUCUUGAUCUGCCAUCAUAACUGACCGCUUUUUACCCCUCAGUGAAACAGCUUGUUUCUUUGAAGUUAGAAUGUACUUGGGAAAAAUUAAUCUUUGGGAAGGUACUGAUCUCUAAUUACCAGCAUUAUUAAGACAGGCUACUUGGUCUGGAGCUAUUUUUCUCUAUAUAGGAACGUUCUCCGUUAUCUGGACCUGCCCAAGUUCAAAUAUUUUGCCUCAUUUUCCUCAUUAGGUACACAUAUAUUUGUCAGUUCAUAUAUCUGAUUUUUGUUUUUAGGACUGAGGGACAGGAAGAAAGAUUACCUCAGUUUUUUCCUUGUUAUGCAAUCACAGUAGAACGCUAGAAGACCUAAAAUAUGCUCUUAAAAAUUAUAUGUGUGUGGUGAAACCAGCGUGUGAAGAAAUUGGUAUUUGGAGGAAGAAAAUAGCUUGUAAUAAUAACCUUUUGUUUUAUUUGGGUCUUGUACUUAUUUAAAAAGGUGCUACUUAAAUGUGUAUUGAAAUAGCCCCUCUUGACUCAGCUCCAAACUUAAAAGGGUAGAGUGGUUUGGGUGCUUGUCCAGGAUCUGGAAGAAGCCCAUCUUGUGCAGGGAAGGAAAUGAAUGUGAGCUUUGAGGUAGUCCAGCCACCAAGCUUUUAGUAUUUCUAUUCCCCAAAAAUGUAAAAAAUGCAAGUUAUUCUUGAAAAUGUAGUACAGACAUUACAUUGAAUAUGAAAUUUUUUUUUACUGCAGUUUCAUCUUGGGUUUGCUGAAUGCACGGUCCAUUUAUUUAAUGUCAUGUCUUACUAAAAUUUGCUUGUUGAGAACAGCUGGAGACUUUGAACUGGAUGCCUAGUUCUGUUUUCUGGGAAGGCGACAUCGAUUGUUUUGCAGACAUUAAGAAGAGCUUUAAAAGGGAAUUGGGGGAUAUAGCUCUGGCUUUUUAAGAAGAAGCCUCCUGUGAUUCUGGGCUCAAGGUGUGACAUACAUUUCCUGCUAAUUGCUUCUCUUAAGAAGCAUGGGCUUGGCUGUUCCUCUUGAGGAAAAACCUUAAUAAACCUUCCCGUUUUAAGCCGU